Long non-coding RNA from Mustela lutreola (European mink), 718 nucleotides. RefSeq lists it as uncharacterized. The transcript has 2 exons. The record is from RefSeq and is a predicted model, not a curated record. NCBI's taxonomy places the organism in Eukaryota, Metazoa, Chordata, Mammalia, Carnivora, Mustelidae.
CCUAACCAGUGCCUGUUGGAAACAAUGCCUUUCCUUUUCUCUCCGGUUUAAAUUGAGGGCCAAGCAGCCAAAGAGAAGCAAGAACACAUCACGUUCUCUCAAUUAAGAACGGUAUGCUGGACUCGUAUACAUCGCGGCAAAGUUUUUCUCCUGAAGUUUCUAUGUGGAUGAUCUCUGGCUCUGAUAAGCAGGUUCUUGGGAGAUGAGACUCUAACACGGGUCUCCAGGGGGACUGGUCGAUGAUUAGUUGCUGUUAUUCCACUGAAAGGAUGGAUAAAGAAACAAUCGGAAGAAUGGUGGUUAGUCUAACCGUUCCUUUUGGGAUCUGUAACAGAUCUGUAAACAGAUAUCUAUUUAUUGAGACCUACUAUGUGCCGGCUACUCCUGGAGGCACUGGGCACAGCGGUGAAUGCAUCGGACUCCUGUCUUCACGGAGCUUAUGUGCUAAAGAUGCGGGUCAGACUAUAAAGACACAAUAACCUAUCUCGGGUGAUGAUCAGCACUUUGAAAAACACAGCUGAGGUCAUGCAGUGGAAAGUACCACGUGCGGGAGGCUGAAAUUUCCUACAGUGUGCUCAGCGGAGCCCGUGUGAUGAAGGGACACUUUGGCAGAACAUGGAGCCUGUGGGGGGACAGGGCGAGAUGGGGAUCUAGGAGGAUGCAUGUUUUAGUUCCCAGCAGCAAAUGGAGCAAUAAAGCAGGGGCUCUCCAGGGAGAA